This is a long non-coding RNA of Archocentrus centrarchus (flier cichlid), 215 nucleotides long. RefSeq lists it as uncharacterized. Lineage: Eukaryota; Metazoa; Chordata; Actinopteri; Cichliformes; Cichlidae. The record is from RefSeq and is a predicted model, not a curated record. The transcript is spliced from 3 exons.
CUUUGGACAGCAACUAUGCAAGAAAUACUGUGGAGCAAAUUCUGACCUCAAAGCCAGCAGGAAUGACUGUGAUUAAAGAGUAUGAAGAAACUGGGAGUUUGAAAGAUUCCACCAGGCGAUUAAUGGUGAACAUCAUUGUUGCACACAUGCGUGAAAAAGAAGGGAGUCGUGUUAGUAAAGCAACAAAGGAGUUUCAUGCACUCAUGGAUAUGUAA